GAGCGCACGUGGUGCCCAGCUGCGGUCUGCUGGUUCGCUCCACAGACAUUUACCGAGCACGCGCUCUGGGCCAUCCCUGUGGCGUCUGAGGGCAGGGAGGGCGGCAGUGAGCAGAGCAUGCCCUCGGGGCCUCACUCUCCCACUGCAGGACACAGGGGAUCAGACAAGCCUGUGCCUUAUGCAGAAUGGGAGACGGCGUAAGUGCAGAGCAGGGUAGGCGACACGGGAAGGACAAUUUUCAAUUUGGGGGGGAGGUCGGAGAAGUUCUCAUUAAGGCAACAUUGAGAACAGACUGAAGGAGAUGAGGGAGCAAGGUGGGAGAAGUGCAGAGGGAGCUGCAAGUGCAAUGGGCCUGAGGCACCAAGCAGAGGGAGGCAGGAGUGGGCUGACGCCUCCAAGAACAGCGAGAAGGCCGGUGAGGCUGGAGUGAAGUGAGUGAGGAGCGGAUAUGGUGGGCACUGAGGCCCGAGCUGUGUGGGCCCCGGGGAACUGCCAGGCUCCGGUGUCCAUCCUGUGCGAGGUGGUUUGGAGGGUUUGAGUAGAGAAGUAUCCCAUUCGGACUUGCAGCAGGAUCACACUGCGACUGUGCUCGAGGCUGCUGCAGGAACCUGGGCAGGUCACGGUGGCGGCUUGGCCCAGGUGCUGACAGCGGAGGCGAUGAGCAGUGCUCUGUCUGGACGUCUUCAGAAGGCAGGCCACAGACUUUGGCAACGUGAGGUGUGAGAGAGGAACACAUCCCAGGAGGAACCCCAGGGCCGGGCAGAGCGCCUGCAGGGCAGGGCUGCUGAGAUGGGAAGGUGGGCAGGUGUGGGGGCUGUCUGCGACAUCUGGGCGUCAGCCAGGCGGAGGGGGCGAGCCACACUAGGCGACAUCGCCUGCAGCUCAGUGGAGCAGGCCCAGUGCAGGUGUCUCACGUGGGGGCUGUCAGAGCACAGAGUACAGACGUGAUUGUUAAAACUACAGCUCUGUGUGGGGUCACGGGGGACAGUAGGGGACAGCUAGCAGAGGAAAGGUCCAGGGCUGGAGGACGGGCAUUCUGAUGCAGGAGGCUGGGGAGAUGAGGAGGAACCAGCCCUGGUGCAGAGAAGGAGCAGCCAGGGAGUGGGAGACGCCACGAGGCCUGUGCAGAAAUGCGCCAGACAAGGAAGUGCACCACAUGAGGAAGUGUGCCAGAUGAGGAAGUGUGCCAGACCUGGAAGUGCACCAGGUGAGGAAGUGCCUCCAGGUGAGGAAGUGUCACCAGGUGAGGAAGUGCUCCAGGUGAGGAAGUGCUCCAGGUGAGGAAGUGCUCCAGGUGAGGAAUUGUCUCCAGGUGAGGAAGUGCUCCAGGU
Molecule: long non-coding RNA, 1331 nt
Filed under: Equus caballus (horse)
Lineage: Eukaryota; Metazoa; Chordata; Mammalia; Perissodactyla; Equidae
Description: lncRNA (ENSECAG00000051314.1)
Source: RNAcentral